GCAUCAACAAACAUUCAGAAGGGUUUUUAAUGGUAUCGUACAUCAUCUCUGCUGCUAAGCAUAUAGAAUGACUUUGACAAAAUUUCUACUUUUUUCUAUCAAGAGGCGCAACGAGUUGCACGGCUGACAAAAAUCUUCCGGUAUACAAAUUCACUUCCCAGUCUCUCUCAUCAACCGCGAGAAAAUAGUAGUAGAAACUACAAACUAACACUUACGCAACACAUGAUUGAUCUCUAACCAGCGUCAGGACAUCUUAAAACCGCCUUUGCUCCCUCGGCUUCGACUCUGCGACGGUAACCCGGAUCUGCCUGCCAUCGAGGUCCUACAGAACAAGACCAUGCGCUCAAUUAGCAUAGCUAUUCAGAAAACAUCGAAUUAUUCAAACUUGACACUAUGAACACAGUAAUAUACGAGAACUUACCACGCCGUCGAGGUUUGAGAUCGCAUUGUUGACCUCGUCAGCAGAGCCAUAGGUGACGAAACCGAAACCCCUCGACCUGCCGCUGUCACGGUCAUAGAUGACCUUGGCAUC
Molecule: long non-coding RNA, 532 nt
Filed under: Triticum aestivum (bread wheat)
Lineage: Eukaryota; Viridiplantae; Streptophyta; Magnoliopsida; Poales; Poaceae
Description: long non-coding RNA (TAES_LNC022071)
Source: RNAcentral